RNAcentral lists this ribosomal RNA (495 nucleotides) under uncultured bacterium. RNAcentral describes it as "partial 16S ribosomal RNA". It matches the Rfam family "Bacterial small subunit ribosomal RNA", at positions 28 to 507 of the family's 1533-position model. The record is from RNAcentral.
GACGAACGCUGGCGGCGUGCCUAAUACAUGCAAGUAGAACGCUGAAGGAGGAGCUUGCUUCUCUGGAUGAGUUGCGAACGGGUGAGUAACGCGUAGGUAACCUGCCUGGUAGCGGGGGAUAACUAUUGGAAACGAUAGCUAAUACCGCAUAAGAGUAGAUGUUGCAUGACAUUUGCUUAAAAGGUGCAAUUGCAUCACUACCAGAUGGACCUGCGUUGUAUUAGCUAGUUGGUGGGGUAACGGCUUACCAAGGCGAUGAUACAUAGCCGACCUGGGAGGGGGAUCGGCCACACUGGGACUGAGACACGGCCCAGACCCCUACGGGAGGCAGCAGUAGGGAAUCUUCGGCAAUGGACGGAAGUCUGACCGAGCAACGCCGCGUGAGUGAAGAAGGUUUUCGGAUCGUAAAGCCCUGUUGUAAGAGAAGAACGAGUGUGAGAGUGGAAAGUGCACACUGUGACGGUAUCUUACCAGAAAGGGACGGCUAACUACGUG